UUCUGGCUAGUAUAUUGGUUAGUAUGCAAGCUUGUCACGCUUGAGAGCAGGGUUCGAUUCCCUGGCCGGAAG
This 72-nucleotide transfer RNA is filed under the name Mrakia frigida. RNAcentral describes it as "tRNA-Asp (GTC) (tRNA-Asp-GTC-1-1, tRNA-Asp-GTC-1 3 to 5)". It matches the Rfam family "tRNA". Rfam says of the family: Transfer RNA (tRNA) molecules are approximately 80 nucleotides in length. Their secondary structure includes four short double-helical elements and three loops (D, anti-codon, and T loops). Lineage: Eukaryota; Fungi; Basidiomycota; Tremellomycetes; Cystofilobasidiales; Mrakiaceae. The record is from RNAcentral.